This 1906-nucleotide long non-coding RNA is filed under the name Equus caballus (horse). RNAcentral's name for it is "lncRNA (ENSECAG00000046767.1)". Lineage: Eukaryota; Metazoa; Chordata; Mammalia; Perissodactyla; Equidae. The record is from RNAcentral.
GAAACUUAGCUAGAUGAGCCCAGCCAAUUCCCACAUAAAGAACAAAUAAAUGUUUGGUAUCAUUUUAAGUCACUAUUUGGGAGUGGUUUGUUACACACUCCUUUAUGGGAAAAAAAAAAUCUAGAACACACAUGUUCUCUACAUAUUCUCUUUAUGAAGCCAGCCCUGGUGAUCCAGUAGUUAAGAUCCGAUGGUCUCACCACCAUGUCUGGGGUUUGUUUCCUGGUCAGGGAACCACACCACCUGUCUGUUGGUUGUCAUUCCGUGGCGGCUGCGUGUUGCUGAGAUGCUGAAAGCUAUGCCACUGGGAUUUCAAAUACCAGCUGGGUCACCCAUGGUGGACAGGUUUCAGCAGAGCUUCCAGACUAAGACAGACUAGGAAGAAGGACCUGGCUAACCACUUCCAGAAAAAUUGGCCAUGAGAACCCUAUGAAUAGCAGCAGAGCACUGUCUGAUAUAGCGCUGGAAGGUGAGAGGAUGGUGCAAAAAGACCGGGCAGGGUUCUACUCUGAUGUACCCAGGGUCACUAGAAGCCGGAAUCCACUCCACCGCUCUAACGAGGAGGCUUUACCAACAAUGAAAUUUGAUCUCCUUUAUCUAACCCCUCUUUCUUAUUUCUCAAUUGCUUCCAAACACAGGAAGGAAAAAUUUAUUUAGUCACCCCCUAAAACUCCAACUGCAUCCACCUAAUACAAGAAUUUCUCCUGCCCUACUCUGGGGGCAUGGAUGGGCCUUAGGUCUCUCUGCUUGACUCUCUCUAGUGAUCAGAUAUGUCUCCCAAAACAUUCAAAUUAGAAGGGCUCUUUCUUGAAAUCUUCUUUCUUAAGUUGGUUGAAAAACCUUUAAAGCAGUGCUGAACAAAUCUGCUCCAUCUUUUACACGCACAUCUUUCAAACCUUCCACGGCUGACAUCACAUGUAUCUCUAGGUCAUCUCAGCUUUCUUCGUGAUUUUUCCUUCUAUAAGAGUUGCAAACGGUGCAGUGCAUCAAACUCGAGUGUGCAUCAGAAUCAUCUGGAGGGGUUGUUACAACAUAGGUUCCUGGGCCCCAUCCCCAGAGCUUCUGAUCCAGUAGGCUUGGGGUCAGAGAAUUUUCAUAUCUAACAGGUUCCGAGUGUUGCGGAUGCUGUGGUCCAGGGACUACUCUGAGGACCACUGAGCUUGAGAAACCAAAUGUAUAGGAUGGCAGAAAGAGUCCUCAUGCUGCCUGUGCUGUCUUCUAAUAAAAUACAAAAGUCCCUAAUAAAACAAAGAUCUCCAAGAAAAACUAAGGUGCCUGCCUAUAUCACACAGUUGUGUGGAUCGACAGUAGAACAACAUUAAGUGUUUCGCAAACUGUCUGGGGUUAUGCAGACAGGAAAUAUGGCUUGAAGAGAUUGCCUGUGGACUUCAUCUAAGUGGUAAUAUCCUUUUUCAAAGCGACACGAGAAUCAAACAGAAUAUGACAGCUGAAGACUACAGCAGAAUCCACUAACCCAUUUCCUGUUUGUUUCCUUUACAGAUUCUCCUGCUUUCCAGAAGGUCUUAUAGCCUGGAAGUAAAAGCAAAAGGGGCUUUCACCCCCACACCCAAGGCUGCUUUGUUAUGCGGCUCCUGAAUAAGAAUAAACAAUGUCGAGCAUUCAAGUAUCACAACGUCCACCUGCUGGGUGCUACCGGCAGCUGCUCUCAAAGCUAGUCCAGACACACGGGUAAGUCUGUCUCCCUGUCGAACACCAGGGGGAAGGUCACAUGCAAUAGCCAGGACUUAGCCCUGCUCACCUCCAGGCAUUCCCCAGACCACAUCAUCAAACCUGCUCAAAUACAGUCGUGUGCCAAGAAACAGUCAACUUCAAAGCGUGUGGCUCUGAGCCUAAGAGUCUGCAUUUCCCUAGCAAUUACAUUUUCUUAUCUACACACCAAGAAUAG